GCUGGAGAGAAUGAGCUUGGAGCCGCAGGGCUUAAUCCCGCGCGGCUCAGAGAUGGGUUUCUGGACUCGCGAAGCAGCUGCAACAAGGCAUCACUCACUGUAUAAGUAUUUCCAUUUCUGAGAGCAAAAGGAAGAACUUAAGCGGGCGGCACUUGGAGUGUAAAUUGCUUUGUAGUAUUUAAAGGCAGAAUGGAUCCUGGGCAGCCGAGCUGGCUGGAGUGCAAUGGUGUGAUCUUGGCUCACUGCAACCUCCACCUCCCAUGUUCAAGGGAUUCUCCUGCCUCAGACUCCCGAGUAGCUGGGACUGCAGGCGCUUGCCCCCACACCUGGCAACAAACCGGCAGGACUUCCUGUGAAAUCAUGACCACCAUGUGCUCUUUCAGCCUCUAUCAGUUCCUACCUCUAAGCACCUGAGAGCCAAAGCAAACCACAGGAAACCACAGGUACUAACUCUUUUAGACCUGAUGAAGUGUCUCCCAAAUACAGUCUGGCAUGACUCAAACUAAACGUCAGCUUUUCCCGGCUCUCAAGCCUGCUGGUCCCUGAACUAAAACUCACAUUAUCAACUCUACUGGUUCUUAGGCCUUUGGAGUCAGACUGGAACUACAGCAUUGACUCUUCCGGAACUCCAGCUUACUGACUACAGAUCUUGGAACUUUUCAGCUUCCACAACCAUCUUCUUUGGACCUUUUAAGUUGCAUUAUCCCAUAAAAUGUGGUGGAUUCAAUGUUGUAUGGCCUGUAAAACUAAGUAAUGAAGGCUGAUAUGUACCCACCUGGCUCUGUCUUGGGAUCACACAACUUGGGAGCCAAAACAGGUGAGGAUGGGGAGGUGUCAAACAAGACCUAACCUCUCAACAAUCAGCUGGACACUGUUGUGUAAGAAUGUGAAGCUUGGCACUGCUGCAGCCAUCUUGUUCCAGGAAGGGUAAAACCUGAGGUUAGAAGCCAACAUCCUAAUGAUGGCAGAGAAGACAAAGAGAACCAGAGUCUAAAUGACAUUGUUGAGUUAGAUCACUACACUACCUCUAGUCUUCUUUUUAUGUGUGAUAAUAAAUCUCACUUAUACUUAAGCCAUUUGAAGUUGAGUCUAAUGUUCAUUUCAGACCAAAGCAGCUUAACUGACAUGUUCUCCGCUUUGUUACCCUAUCCAGUUGUUUUCAUGCAGGAAAUAAAUCUCAAAUUACCUCA
RNAcentral lists this long non-coding RNA (1190 nucleotides) under Homo sapiens (human). Its description in RNAcentral is "long independently transcribed non-coding RNA 1322, transcript variant 5 (LINC01322)". Lineage: Eukaryota; Metazoa; Chordata; Mammalia; Primates; Hominidae. The record is from RNAcentral.